This 505-nucleotide ribosomal RNA is filed under the name uncultured bacterium. Its description in RNAcentral is "bacterial SSU rRNA". It matches the Rfam family "Bacterial small subunit ribosomal RNA", at positions 71 to 563 of the family's 1533-position model. The record is from RNAcentral.
GCUUGCACUCAAUUGGAAAGAGGAGUGGCGGACGGGUGAGUAACACGUGGGUAACCUGCCCAUCAGAGGGGGAUAACACUUUGAAACAGGUGCUAAUACCGCAUAACAGUUUAUGCCGCAUGGCAUAAGAGUGAAAGGCGCUUUCGGGUGUCGCUGAUGGAUGGACCCGCGGUGCAUUAGCUAGUUGGUGAGGUAACGGCUCACCAAGGCCACGAUGCAUAGCCGACCUGAGAGGGUGAUCGGCCACACUGGGACUGAGACACGGCCAGACUCCUACGGGAGGCAGCAGUAGGGAAUCUUCGGCAAUGGACGAAAGUCUGACCGAGCAACGCCGCGUGAGUGAAGAAGGUUUUCGGAUCGUAAAACUCUGUUGUUAGAGAAGAACAAGGACGUUAGUAACUGAACGUCCCCUGACGGUAUCUAACCAGAAAGCCACGGCUAACUACGUGCCAGCAGCCGCGGUAAUACGUAGGUGGCAAGCGUUGUCCGGAUUUAUUGGGCGUAA